AUAUCCCUUUUCCUUAAAGCAGCUUUACAUCAAGGCUAUGCAAGUCUCAUGCUAUGCAAGUCCGUCGUGCAUGGCAUAUCUCUUGCCUACCCUGACCUUUUUACAUCGGAGCUAUUUCUGUGCAAUUAUAGAUACCACUUUCAUUGUUGCCAAUAGAAGAAAUAUAUCAAAAUAUUAACUUUAGAUAUUUCACUUAAAAACUUCAGUCCAUAAUUAAAUAUAUUCAAAUAUAAACCACAAAUUAUUACAUCCAAUAAAUACCAUUUAAACUUACACAAUAAGGUUAAGUUUUUUUCUAAACUAUAAAUUUUGUCACAUUGGCAACAUGAAUUUUGACAGGACUUGCAUCAAAAUAGCAUGAAAAAUAGAACAUGUUUUAAUUUUUCGUCUAGCACAGGAAUUGCAUGGAAAUAGCACGUGGGCAUGCGCAGUAGCGUGAUCUGUCUUGCAUAGCUCUUGCCUAGCAUGAAAAUAGCAUAAUGUAAAACUGUCUUUACUAAAUUUGACAGUAAGAAUAACAUAUUUUUGUAACUUGGGAAUUCCGAAUAAUUUAUGAGUAUUACUUAGAUAUUAUUUAAAUAAAAUACUUUAACAAGCUUAGUAAGUUCUGGUAUUUUAUUUUAAUAAUAUAGGUGAGAUUAUAAGAAGAUAUUUUAAUUAGUAACGAAAGGGCCCGCAAGAGGCGCUGAACGGAUGAAAUUAAUGCUUGUCCAUUUAAAUUUCCCGCCAAAUGGUGAUUAGUUAACACUACGGUCGCAAGUGGCGAAAGGAACCAAAUUUUUACAGUGAGUUGCCUAUCUAUCCGGUAAUACUAUAUUAUUAAUCUAUGGUCAGUAUCUCAGUAUGCCUUUAUCUUUUAUCUCGUUGUCAGUAAAAAUGUUUAUCUGAUUGUUAGCAAUAAUAAAAAAUCCUGAUUUAGAUAAAAUGGAUUCAAAUACAGUUUUUGAAACAAAACGAAUGUGAUUUGAAGAUCCAUAGGAAGAUCAAAUUCCUAGCUUACAUUUGCAUGGUGAGUUCAACAAGUAUUUGUUAUUAGAGAACAAGUAACAAAGUUAGUGGUGUAGGGAAGCAAACGAAUGUAACACCAAUUGAAAGUCCUCAACAAGUAGAGAUGCACACAUGUUUCAAUCAUUUGAGAUACCCUUUUGUAGAAGUAUUUGGAAGAUAACUAUUAAUAAUUUCAUUUGUAAAGAUACGAUUUGUAAAAAAGUAUAUACAAAGUGGUUUUGCUGGUAUUAAAUAAAUAAAUAAAAAUAC
Molecule: long non-coding RNA, 1257 nt
Organism: Diabrotica virgifera virgifera (western corn rootworm)
Lineage: Eukaryota; Metazoa; Arthropoda; Insecta; Coleoptera; Chrysomelidae
Exons: 2
Source: RefSeq, a predicted model, not a curated record